AGUGGCGGACGGGUGAGUAACGCGUGGGUAACCUGCCUCAUACAGGGGGAUAACAGUUAGAAAUGACUGCUAAUACCGCAUAAGCGCACGAGGAUGCAUGUUCUUGUGUGAAAAACUCCGGUGGUAUGAGAUGGACCCGCGUCUGAUUAGCUAGUUGGAGGGGUAACGGCCCACCAAGGCGACGAUCAGUAGCCGACCUGAGAGGGUGACCGGCCACAUUGGGACUGAGACACGGCCCAAACUCCUACGGGAGGCAGCAGUGGGGAAUAUUGCACAAUGGGGGAAACCCUGAUGCAGCAACGCCGCGUGAGUGAAGAAGUAUUUCGGUAUGUAAAGCUCUAUCAGCAGGGAAGAAGAUGACGGUACCUGAGUAAGAAGCCCCGGCUAACUACGUGCCAGCAGCCGCGGUAAUACGUAGGGGGCAAGCGUUAUCCGGAUUUACUGGGUGUAAAGGGAGCGUAGACGGCUGCGCAAGUCUGAAGUGAAAGCCCGGGGCUCAACCCCGGGACUGCUUUGGAAACUGUGUAGCUAGAGUGCUGGAGAGGCAAGCGGAAUUCCUAGUGUAGCGGUGAAAUGCGUAGAUAUUAGGAAGAACACCAGUGGCGAAGGCGGCUUGCUGGACAGUAACUGACGUUGAGGCUCGAAAGCGUGGGGAGCAAACAGGAUUAGAUACCCUGGUA
Molecule: ribosomal RNA, 680 nt
Filed under: uncultured bacterium
Lineage: Bacteria
Description: bacterial SSU rRNA
Rfam family: Bacterial small subunit ribosomal RNA
Source: RNAcentral